This is a non-coding RNA of Lamprotornis superbus, 72 nucleotides long. NCBI's taxonomy places the organism in Eukaryota, Metazoa, Chordata, Aves, Passeriformes, Sturnidae. The record is from the annotation of a GenBank genome assembly.
GGGGAUGUAGCUCAGUGGGAGAGCGCUUGCUUCGCAUGUAAGAGGUCUUGGGUUCAAUCCCCAGCAUCUCCA